Falco peregrinus (peregrine falcon) is the source of this 1075-nucleotide long non-coding RNA. RefSeq lists it as uncharacterized. The transcript has 3 exons. The record is from RefSeq and is a predicted model, not a curated record. NCBI's taxonomy places the organism in Eukaryota, Metazoa, Chordata, Aves, Falconiformes, Falconidae.
UGUGUGGGGGGUGGGGAGGGUGUGAAGGGGAGAGGGGCACACAGCCGGGAAGGUGAGAGACAGCGAUGCUCUCUCCUAAGGCCUGGAGCAAAAAGCUUUGUCCCGCAGAUUGAACUAGCAGAUUCCCCCGGCGGAACCCCUCCGCUGGGCUGAAUUUAGCAGCAGAAGAGAUAACCGGCAGAUAAGGACUGAUACCCCCGAGGACAGCGGGAGACGGGCAGGCGGCCGAGGAAAGGGGGAGAAGCCGGAGGCAGCUUUGGGAAGGGGUAAGGAUGGAAGCAAGCUGGGAAAAAGGGGGUUUAAGGGAACCUCUGCUUCCCUCCGCCACCCAGGGGACGGAGGAGCGGCUGGUUCUGUGCGUGUCACCGGCCUGGGAUGGAGCGUUUCCACGGGACUCUCAAAAUGAAGCCAAAACGGACAGAGUAUCCGGCAUUUCAGACACGCAUCUCCCUCUCCAAGCCUUGCAAAAUCCCUGGUGAUUCUCUCUUUGCUGAACCUCCGUUGAAUUCCUACUGAAUAACAGCCCUUUCCUUAAAAAAGAAAUAAAAAAUCCAGUUAAACCCGAUUAAAACCGCCGGAGCAUCUCCCCCAGGAGCAGAGCCGAUUGCAAGGACCUGCUUUGGCUUUGCCUCAUCCAGGAAAAAACAGGAAAAGAAAAAAGUAUUCCGAGGUCGGUUUUGCGUGUGAGUGGCCGAAUUCAGCCGCGUUCAGUGGGAAAUAUCGGCCCUUGGUACCGAGCACCGCAUCCCGGGGAGCGCACCCCGAAAAAGCAGCGCCUUGAGGAGUCGAGCCGACCCCCAGCCGGGCGGGAGAGGAUGGAUUUGGGACACUUUUUAUCUCCCAAAACAGCAGAGGAUGGGGCACAGCGGAGCGCAGCGACAGGAAACAAAACCCUGCUCUGCACUCCGGCAUUUUUAUUUUUUUCCCCUGCGAUUCCGGAGCGCGCUCGCCCGCAAAGCGAAGCCGUUAACGAAAUCUGGGUGAAAAUAACCCAACGGAACAAAUCUCAGCCUUUCCACUCUCCUUUCCAGGCCCCGCUUCUCCCCCAGGGAGGAAAUAAAUCGAUACGAUGCCA